CAUAUAAAACCAGGCCGCAACCCACCUGCUAUCAUCCGAGAGCAAACAAAGGCGUCGCGGCAUCGAGCCAAGAGAGAAGCCACCGACGCCAAUCCGCGCAUUUGUCGCCGUUAGUUCUUCACAGAGAGGUCAGGGAAGACGGCCGGGGUACACCGAUCGCUCGCGUAGCAUCCUUGUACCGUGGGGUUGAUCGGAGUCAUCGCAAUUGCUUGCUGUCGUUUCGUCGUGCCACCGUGGAAUCCGCGAUCCACCGUUGCCAUCUCCGUCAGUGCCUCCACCAUCGGUCAAGAACAUGUACCACUCGAGAUCAUGAAGGAUGCUACGAUGAGUAUGGAGAGGUCUAGGUCGUCGUUUCCCAGUCAACUAGGAUAAUGGAGGAUCGUUGUCGUCAUAUGAUAUAUUUAUUUAGCUAUUUUGUACAGAACACCUAUUAUUUAAUAAAGAUGUGACAUUGCUUUC
Molecule: long non-coding RNA, 459 nt
Organism: Zea mays
Lineage: Eukaryota; Viridiplantae; Streptophyta; Magnoliopsida; Poales; Poaceae
Exons: 2
Source: RefSeq, a predicted model, not a curated record